GUUUGUAAUACAGUGUAAACUUUGCAAAUUUGCUCACAGUAGCAGAGAGGUCCUCCUGAAACACUACAGGUUUCACCACUAUCAAGGGCGAUCCUGGCAGCAGCCUUGCCUGUAUACUGACUGCAUCUGCACUUUCAAAACUAUAGGAAAGGGAUGCAUUACAGGAGAAAUUGAAGAAGAAACAUCUCAACAUGGCAUUUGUUGACUCGAAAAUGGAAUUGACAUUCUCAUUGAGAAGGAAGGAGAUAGUUGAAGAAGAACCUCUUGUAGCUGAUGUACUAAGACAAUGGCCAGCAUUGUUUUUUGGAACAUCAGAUAUGUGCUGAGUUUUACAGAAUCACACAAACAAACCUUAAGAGUAAAUUUUUCUCUUAUCUGGAUGAAUAUACACCGCGGAUGAUCAAGUUGUUUAGGGUACUCGGCGGAGCAUAUGGAGAUAAUAUUAAGACCCUCCUAGACCAACUUGAUGAUCAGACCUCCGAUGUGCUUGCUCAUAGAAAGGCUACAGCUCUCAAAGGUCUACCUUUGUUUAUGAGGGAAAAGUCUGAACAUUUCCUGAAGACUUGCCUGGACACAGAGCCAGAAGAAAAUCAUACAAAAGGGAAUAAAGAUGGG
Molecule: long non-coding RNA, 615 nt
Filed under: Sinocyclocheilus anshuiensis
Lineage: Eukaryota; Metazoa; Chordata; Actinopteri; Cypriniformes; Cyprinidae
Description: lncRNA (ENSSANG00000027256.1)
Source: RNAcentral